RNAcentral lists this ribosomal RNA (337 nucleotides) under uncultured fungus. RNAcentral describes it as "eukaryotic LSU rRNA". The stretch from base 1 to 78 matches the Rfam family "5.8S ribosomal RNA", at positions 77 to 154 of the family's 154-position model. The record is from RNAcentral. Lineage: Eukaryota; Fungi.
GAAUUCAGUGAAUCAUCGAAUCUUUGAACGCACCUUGCGCCCUUUGGUAUUCCGAAGGGCACACCUGUUUGAGUGUCGUGAAAUUCUCAACCCUCCUCACUUUUGUGAAGGAAGGGCUUGGACUUGGAGGCUUUGCCGGCUUUGUUUCGGCUCCUCUCAAAUGCAUUAGUACGUCUCGUUGCGAUGUGCGCCUCGGUGUGAUAAUUAUCUACGCUGCGUGUGUGCUUGCUUCUUAUUGAGAUGUGCUUCAAACCGUCCGAGAGGACAAUUCAUCGAAACUUGACCUCAAAUCAGGUGGGACUACCCGCUGAACUUAAGCAUAUCAAUAAGCGGAGGA